UACGGAGGGGGCUAGCGUUGUUCGGAAUUACUGGGCGUAAAGCGCACGUAGGCGGCUUUGCAAGUUAGAGGUGAAAGCCCGGGGCUCAACUCCGGAAUUGCCUUUAAAACUGCAUCGCUAGAAUUGUGGAGAGGUAAGUGGAAUUCCGAGUGUAGAGGUGAAAUUCGUAGAUAUUCGGAGGAACAUCAGAAGCGAAGGCGACUAUCUGGACCAUUACUGACGCUGAGGUGCGAAAGCGUGGGGAUCAAACAGG
This 253-nucleotide ribosomal RNA is filed under the name uncultured bacterium. RNAcentral describes it as "partial 16S ribosomal RNA". It matches the Rfam family "Bacterial small subunit ribosomal RNA", at positions 524 to 776 of the family's 1533-position model. The record is from RNAcentral.